GACGAACGCUGGCGGCGUGCUUAACACAUGCAAGUCGAACGGAAAGGCCCUGCUUUUGUGGGGUGCUCGAGUGGCGAACGGGUGAGUAACACGUGAGUAACCUGCCCUUGACUUUGGGAUAACUUCAGGAAACUGGGGCUAAUACCGGAUAGGAGCUCCCGCUGCAUGGUGGGGGUUGGAAAGUUUCGGCGGUUGGGGAUGGACUCGCGGCUUAUCAGCUUGUUGGUGGGGUAGUGGCUUACCAAGGCUUUGACGGGUAGCCGGCCUGAGAGGGUGACCGGCCACAUUGGGACUGAGAUACGGCCCAGACUCCUACGGGAGGCAGCAGUGGGGAAUAUUGCACAAUGGGCGGAAGCCUGAUGCAGCAACGCCGCGGGCGGGAUGACGGCCUUCGGGUUGUAAACCGCUUUCGCCUGUGACGAAGCGUGAGUGACGGUAAUGGGUAAAGAAGCACCGGCUAACUACGUG
This 468-nucleotide ribosomal RNA is filed under the name uncultured bacterium. RNAcentral describes it as "partial 16S ribosomal RNA". It matches the Rfam family "Bacterial small subunit ribosomal RNA", at positions 28 to 507 of the family's 1533-position model. The record is from RNAcentral.